GAUGAACGCUAGCUACAGGCUUAACACAUGCAAGUCGAGGGCAGCACUAGGUAGCAAUACUGAGGUGGCGACCGGCGCACGGGUGCGUAACGCGUAUCCAACCUUCCCGUUACUCUUGGAUAGCCUUCCGAAAGGGAGAUUAAUACAAGAUGGUAUUCAAAUUCCGCAUGUUAUUUGAAUUAAAGAUUUAUCGGUAACGGAUGGGGAUGCGUGACAUUAGAUAGUAGGCGGGGUAACGGCCCACCUAGUCUACGAUCGUUAGGGGUUCUGAGAGGAAGGUCCCCCACACUGGAACUGAGACACGGUCCAGACUCCUACGGGAGCAGCAGUGAGGAAUAUUGGUCAAUGGCCG
Molecule: ribosomal RNA, 352 nt
Filed under: uncultured bacterium
Lineage: Bacteria
Description: bacterial SSU rRNA
Rfam family: Bacterial small subunit ribosomal RNA
Source: RNAcentral